RNAcentral lists this ribosomal RNA (465 nucleotides) under Vreelandella stevensii. RNAcentral's name for it is "partial 16S ribosomal RNA". It matches the Rfam family "Bacterial small subunit ribosomal RNA", at positions 338 to 795 of the family's 1533-position model. Lineage: Bacteria; Pseudomonadati; Pseudomonadota; Gammaproteobacteria; Oceanospirillales; Halomonadaceae. The record is from RNAcentral.
UCUACGGUGCGCAGCAGUGGGGAAUAUUGGACAAUGGGCGAAAGCCUGAUCCAGCCAUGCCGCGUGUGUGAAGAAGGCCUUCGGGUUGUAAAGCACUUUCAGUGGGGAAGAAAGCCUUGGGGCUAAUACCCUCGAGGAAGGACAUCACCCACAGAAGAAGCACCGGCUAACUCCGUGCCAGCAGCCGCGGUAAUACGGAGGGUGCGAGCGUUAAUCGGAAUUACUGGGCGUAAAGCGCGCGUAGGCGGUCUGAUAAGCCGGUUGUGAAAGCCCCGGGCUCAACCUGGGAACGGCAUCCGGAACUGUCAGGCUAGAGUGCAGGAGAGGAAGGUAGAAUUCCCGGUGUAGCGGUGAAAUGCGUAGAGAUCGGGAGGAAUACCAGUGGCGAAGGCGGCCUUCUGGACUGACACUGACGCUGAGGUGCGAAAGCGUGGGUAGCAAACAGGAUUAGAUACCCUAGUAGUC